CGGGCGGACGGGUGAGUAACACGUAUCCAACCUGCCGUCUACUCUUGGACAGCCUUCUGAAAGGAAGAUUAAUACAAGAUGGCAUCAUGAGUCCGCAUGUUCGCAUGAUUAAAGGUAUUCCGGUAGACGAUGGGGAUGCGUUCCAUUAGAUAGUAGGCGGGGUAACGGCCCACCUAGUCUUCGAUGGAUAGGGGUUCUGAGAGGAAGGUCCCCCACAUUGGAACUGAGACACGGUCCAA
RNAcentral lists this ribosomal RNA (239 nucleotides) under uncultured bacterium. Its description in RNAcentral is "partial 16S ribosomal RNA". It matches the Rfam family "Bacterial small subunit ribosomal RNA", at positions 95 to 334 of the family's 1533-position model. The record is from RNAcentral.